AAGUCGUAACAAGGUAACCGUAGGUGAACCUGCGGUUGGAUCAUUAACAAUGGUUUUCAAACCUUUCAUCUGUGCACUGUAUUGUUCUUGGUGUCUCUUUGUUCCACCCUUUACAAGGUGGGCAAGGUCUACUUUGGUAGAAACCGACACCAACAUUUUUAAACCAUGUAUUUUAUCGAGUCUUGAAUUUGUAUUAAAAUGAAAAACUUUUGACAACGGAUCUCUUGGCUCUC
RNAcentral lists this unclassified non-coding RNA (233 nucleotides) under fungal sp. Its description in RNAcentral is "partial internal transcribed spacer region". The stretch from base 1 to 46 matches the Rfam family "Eukaryotic small subunit ribosomal RNA", at positions 1786 to 1831 of the family's 1831-position model. The record is from RNAcentral. Lineage: Eukaryota; Fungi.